RNAcentral lists this unclassified non-coding RNA (233 nucleotides) under plant metagenome. RNAcentral's name for it is "partial contains small subunit ribosomal RNA, internal transcribed spacer 1, and 5.8S ribosomal RNA". The record is from RNAcentral.
UUUCCGUAGGUGAACCUGCGGGAGGAUCAUUAUUGGAUUUUGAAACUUCAGGCUGCUGCUGGCUCUCCUCGGAGGGCAUGUGCACGCUUGUUGUCCAUUAUUUCUCCCACUGUGCACAAAUUGUAGACCUUUCAGUAGGCCUAUGUUGUUUUUCACAAUCUCUGAAUGUAAUAGAAUGGUUUUGAAUCUUGGGAAAUACAAUACAACUUUCAGCAACGGAUCUCUUGGCUCUC